Molecule: ribosomal RNA, 412 nt
Filed under: uncultured bacterium
Lineage: Bacteria
Description: bacterial SSU rRNA
Rfam family: Bacterial small subunit ribosomal RNA
Source: RNAcentral
GAUGAACGCUAGCGGCAGGCCUAACACAUGCAAGUCGAGGGGCAGCACGUCUUCGGAUGGUGGCGACCGGCGCACGGGUGCGUAACGCGUAUGCAACCUACCUCUUACAGUGGGAUAGCCCAGAGAAAUUUGGAUUAAUACCGCAUAGUAUACAGAUUCAGCAUUGGGACUGUAUUAAACAUUUAUGGGUAAGAGAUGGGCAUGCGUUCUAUUAGUUAGUUGGAGUGGUAACGGCACCCCAAGACAGCGAUAGAUAGGGGCCCUGAGAGGGGGAUCCCCCACACUGGUACUGAGACACGGACCAGACUCCUACGGGAGCAGCAGUGAGGAAUAUUGGACAAUGGGCGAGAGCCUGAUCCAGCCAUGCCGCGUGCAGGAAGACGGCCCUAUGGGUUGUAAACUGCUUUUGUAC